RNAcentral lists this ribosomal RNA (506 nucleotides) under uncultured bacterium. RNAcentral's name for it is "bacterial SSU rRNA". It matches the Rfam family "Bacterial small subunit ribosomal RNA", at positions 19 to 518 of the family's 1533-position model. The record is from RNAcentral.
CUGGCUCAGGAUGAACGCUAGCGGCAGGCUUAACACAUGCAAGUCGAGGGGCAUCGGGAGUAGCAAUACUUGCCGGCGACCGGCGCAAGGGUGCGUAACGCGUGAGCAACAUGCCCGUAUCAGGGGGAUAAUCCAUGGAAACGUGGUCUAAUACCCCAUAGUAAUUAUGUAAGGCAUCUUAUAUAAUUUAAAGCUUUGGUGGAUACGGAUUGGCUCGCGUGACAUUAGCUAGAUGGUAAGGUAACGGCUUACCAUGGCUACGAUGUCUAGGGGUUCUGAGAGGAAGGUCCCCCCACACUGGAACUGAGACACGGUCCAGACUCCUACGGGAGGCAGCAGUGAGGAAUAUUGGACAAUGGAUGGAAAUCUGAUCCAGCCAUGCCGCGUGCAGGAAAGACGGCCCUAUGGGUUGUAAACUGCUUUUGUAUGGGAGCAAUAAGGGCUACGCGUAGUCCGAUGAGAGUACCAUACGAAUAAGCACCGGCUAACUCCGUGCCAGCAGCAGC